GACGAACGCUGGCGGCGUGCUUAACACAUGCAAGUCGAACGGAGAGGCCCUGCUUUUGUGGGGUGCUCGAGUGGCGAACGGGUGAGUAACACGUGAGUAACCUGCCCUUGACUUUGGGAUAACUUCAGGAAACUGGGGCUAAUACCGGGUAGGAGCUCCUGCUGCAUGGUGGGGGUUGGAAAGUUUCGGCGGUUGGGGAUGGACUCGCGGCUUAUCAGCUUGUUGGUGGGGUAGUGGCUUACCAAGGCUUUGACGGGUAGCCGGCCUGAGAGGGUGACCGGCCACAUUGGGACUGAGAUACGGCCCAGACUCCUACGGGAGGCAGCAGUGGGGAAUAUUGCACAAUGGGCGGAAGCCUGAUGCAGCAACGCCGCGUGCGGGAUGACGGCCUUCGGGUUGUAAACCGCUUUCGCCUGUGACGAAGCGUGAGUGACGGUAAUGGGUAAAGAAGCACCGGCUAACUACGUG
RNAcentral lists this ribosomal RNA (468 nucleotides) under uncultured bacterium. RNAcentral describes it as "partial 16S ribosomal RNA". It matches the Rfam family "Bacterial small subunit ribosomal RNA", at positions 28 to 507 of the family's 1533-position model. The record is from RNAcentral.